Myotis brandtii (Brandt's bat) is the source of this 75-nucleotide non-coding RNA. The record is from Rfam. Lineage: Eukaryota; Metazoa; Chordata; Mammalia; Chiroptera; Vespertilionidae.
GGAGGUUCUCAGGUGAUGCACCCCAGAAUCGGGCUCCCUCCUCUCUGGUUCUGGGUGCCUCACGGGAGAACUGCA